GCUCGGCCGAACACGGAGCGAAGCAAACUAUUAUUAGCCUGCGAGGUGAAAAGUCUGCAAGGCUGUCAUCGGCGCAUAGUAAUCUCUUAUAUAAAUUAAACAAAAAUAAGAGAUAACAGAUUACUUACCUUGCUUCGAAAACUGAUAGUUCUGAAUUUUAGACCACGAAAAAUUAUGAAAUCCGUAUCGAAUGGGCCGGUGACAGCCUCGAGCUAUAAGUUGUUUGCUUCGCUCCGUGUUCAGCCGAGCGUAAUUAAUUGUCCAACGGCGCCGGUCAAGGAUUCAAAUCGCUGCUUACUCGUUUUAAAAAAUGGCUAGCGGCCAGGGAAAAUGAUUUAGCUCGGAUGUUUUGCCACAUAUCGAAUAAUAACAGCCGAUUCCAAGCUACGAACAAGUUUCAAAACCAUUGCCUGGGCUACCUGUGAUUUGGCCAUAAGGAAAAUUAAAUACCAAGAUAGCAUGAGCUAUCUAAGAGAAAAUGGUCCCCGCUUUAUGGGUAAACGAACUCCCCCGCUGCUACGGCCUGAACACCGCAAAACUUUUUUCUUUGCGGGAGGAGAUGGGGCAGAGCAUAUGUGGAUUUUUUAAAAUCCACUUAAAAGCGCGAAAUAUCUAGGAAUGAAUGAGACAAUAAACACUUAAAACCUCUAAAUCAUUAAAUGACCCAUACAGUACAAUAAUAUUCUUAUGAAUACUAUAAUAAUGUUUCCAUUAAAGGCACAGGGGAAAAUAAUCUUCUAUCAUAAGUGAAUCUUGAACAAGUUAGUGUACAGUUGAUUUAGCUCAUUCCUUACCGAAGUCGCUAAAUGUAAUGUGUAUUUGCGUGUCUUCUCAUUAUUCAACUCUACCUAUUUUGAGGAUUCGAUGUGCAGAACACGGACUAAAGUUAAAGGUUAGUGUAUAAUGUGCUUUUUGAUGUGAUACGAUCAGGAAUAAUGUGAUAUUUGUGACUGACUUUAGCAUACUAUCGUUCUAGACUUGGGCGCUGUCUCAACGGACAUCGAAUGCAAAUACUGUUUUGUUUAAAACAAUUUACUAUCCCCUAAUGUGUUUCUCUCAUUUUUUAUUACAGGAUAUAGGUAUUAGGGAAGCAAAUGUGCUCUAGUUGCAAAGCCAGAAAAGGGAGAAAUUGGAGCUUUAUACGACCUUGAGUUUGCGACUAGAGGAACCGAGAAUUAUGUCAUGCUGGAUAUCAAACCAGGAGACUUUGAAGACAUCACAAUAUGCUACUGGAUCAAGAAGAAA
Nematostella vectensis (starlet sea anemone) is the source of this 1245-nucleotide long non-coding RNA. RefSeq lists it as uncharacterized. Lineage: Eukaryota; Metazoa; Cnidaria; Anthozoa; Actiniaria; Edwardsiidae. The record is from RefSeq and is a predicted model, not a curated record. The transcript has 3 exons.